UGGCAGACGGGUGAGUAACGCGUGGGGAAUCUACCUUUUUGUAGGGAAUAACGCUCCGAAAGGAGUGGUAAUACCGCAUGAGACCGUGAGCUGGGAUGCUUGCGGUGAAACCUGGGGACCGCAAGGCCUGGGGCAAAAAGAGGAUCCUGCGUCUGAUUAGCUAGUUGGCGGGGUAAUGGCCCACCAAGGCGACGAUCAGUAGCCGGCCUGAGAGGGUGAUCGGCCACACUGGAACUGAGACACGGUCCAGACUCCUACGGGAGGCAGCAGUGGGGAAUUUUGCGCAAUGGACGAAAGUCUGACGCAGCAACGCCGCGUGGGUGAUGAAGGUCUUCGGACUGUAAAACCCUGUCGUCAGGGACGAAGGUGCUCGUGUUAAUAGCGCGAGUGCUUGACGGUACCUGGAGAGGAAGCCCCGGCUAACUCUGUGCCAGCAGCCGCGGUAAUACAGAGGGGGCAAGCGUUAUUCGGAACUAUUGGGCGUAAAGGGCGCGUAGGCGGUUUUUUAAGUCAGAUGUGUAAUCCCCGAGCUCAGCUUGGGAACUGCAUCUGAGACUGGAAGGCUAGAGUACUGGAGAGGGUGGUGGAAUUCCUCGUGUAGCGGUGAAAUGCGUAGAGAUGAGGAGGAACACCAGUGGCGAAGGCGGCCACCUGGACAGUAACUGACGCUGAGGCGCGAAAGUGUGGGUAGCAAACAGGAUUAGAUACCCUGGUAGUCCACGCUGUAAACGAUGAACACUUGGUGUGGAGGGAGUUGACCCCUUCCGUGCCGGAGCUAACGCGUUAAGUGUUCCGCCUGGGGAGUACGGUCGCAAGGCUGAAACUCAAAGGAAUUGACGGGGGCCCGCACAAGCGGUGGAGCAUGUGGUUUAAUUCGACGCAACGCGAAGAACCUUACCUGGGCUUGAAC
This 910-nucleotide ribosomal RNA is filed under the name uncultured bacterium. RNAcentral's name for it is "bacterial SSU rRNA". It matches the Rfam family "Bacterial small subunit ribosomal RNA", at positions 96 to 986 of the family's 1533-position model. The record is from RNAcentral.